Molecule: long non-coding RNA, 341 nt
Organism: Thalassophryne amazonica
Lineage: Eukaryota; Metazoa; Chordata; Actinopteri; Batrachoidiformes; Batrachoididae
Exons: 3
Source: RefSeq, a predicted model, not a curated record
UUUCCAUUAAGGGUUGCGGGGGGCUGGAGCCUAUCCCAGAAGUCACAGGGCGUGAGGCAGGGUACGCCCUGGAACAGCACGCUAGUCUAUCGCAGGGCUCAAGGAAAAAUGUGAAGGAUAAUUCAUAAGGACACAGGAAAAGGCAAUUAUGGUGUUCAGAGAAUCUGACUGCACUUAGAAACACUACGUAAUAAUUACCCAGCAAUGUUACUGGUGUGAGUCUGCUGUUAUGCGACUGCAGUUUUCUGAAGAUGGGCUGAAAAAUGUGUAUCUUCACCCUGUGAGUUCUGACCAUGUUGUUUUCCACAGGCUAUAAUAGGAGCAACAUGAUUAAAAAUAUG